AUUGGAUCUUGCACUCCCCUCACACCACUUCCUGUUCUCUUCUCAACUGAUUUGAAUGCUCUUCUCCUAAUGUUCAACAAGCAUGUGAUCCAAGAAUCUGGUGUAUAAAAUGUUGGUCCUGAAGUCAUGAAUGCCAGAGUUCAAAAUCUACCUUAGACUUACUUGCUAGGAAACUCCAGGACUUUGAAAACAUGAAGUGGGAAUAAGAGCUACUUAAUAAAUGACUAGGAGAUUUGCACAAAACAGGAAAGAGGACUAGACGUGUGAUUUCCCUUGUCCAAGGGCAUCUGGGAUGAGGAAACUCUUCCAGUGUGAGUCCAUACUUUCUCUGCAACUCUUUCUUAGAGAGUCAACUGGAGCACCAACAAAGUGCAAUGACUUGCCUGAAGUCACACAAUUGGUAUACAUCCAAGGUGGGACUGGAACCCAAGUCUUUCUUGCUUUGAUUUCAUAUUCCCAUCCACUAUGCCAUGUAUGUAAGAUGGAAGACUUUGUGGCUUGGAGGUCAGCUCCCUCCACUAUUCUAAACUAUCUCUGUAUGUAUGUAAUCAUAAAAUUAUAAAGUAUUUGAGUUGUAAGGGACCUUAGAAAUGCUUUGUGAAUCAUUUGACCUGGGUUCAAAACCUGGCUUUGUGACUUACUUACUAUGCAUGUGACCUCAUAUAUCUGUAAUAUAAAAAAAAGUUGAACUACAGCUGUGAAUAUCCCUUUCUGUUCUAAUGCUAUCACCCAAUGGGAUAAUCCAAUUCCUUUUCUCUGGCAGAUGAGGAAACUAAGUCAGUGAGCAUGAGUUAGUGGGCUUUGAUCUGACACAAAUGGGCUAUGUGACCUCACUUACUUAGUAUGUGGCUGGGACUAGCACAUGGGUCUCUUGUCUUCUGGGCUAGCAUUCUUUCUUCUCCACUCAAGGCUCCAAUUUUCUCAUUUGGAAAAAUGAGGAAAUGGAGGGAGAAUCAAAUUAGUAGUGAACUAA
Molecule: non-coding RNA, 973 nt
Organism: Monodelphis domestica (gray short-tailed opossum)
Lineage: Eukaryota; Metazoa; Chordata; Mammalia; Didelphimorphia; Didelphidae
Source: RefSeq, a predicted model, not a curated record